CUACCCUUGACAUGCCAGGAACUUGCCAGAGAUGGCUUGGUGCUCGAAAGAGAACCUGGACACAGGUGCUGCAUGGCUGUCGUCAGCUCGUGUCGUGAGAUGUUGGGUUAAGUCCCGCAACGAGCGCAACCCUUGUCAUUAGUUGCUACGAAAGGGCACUCUAAUGAGACUGCCGGUGACAAACCGGAGGAAGGUGGGGAUGACGUCAAGUCCUCAUGGCCCUUAUGGGUAGGGCUACACACGUCAUACAAUGGCUGGUACAGAGGGUUGCCAACCCGCGAGGGGGAGCUAAUCCCAGAAAACCAGUCGUAGUCCGGAUUGCAGUCUGCAACUCGACUGCAUGAAGUCGGAAUCGCUAGUAAUCGCGGAUCAGCUUGCCGCGGUGAAUACGUUCCC
Molecule: ribosomal RNA, 396 nt
Filed under: uncultured bacterium
Lineage: Bacteria
Description: bacterial SSU rRNA
Rfam family: Bacterial small subunit ribosomal RNA
Source: RNAcentral